This is a non-coding RNA of Callorhinus ursinus (northern fur seal), 993 nucleotides long. NCBI's taxonomy places the organism in Eukaryota, Metazoa, Chordata, Mammalia, Carnivora, Otariidae. The record is from RefSeq and is a predicted model, not a curated record.
AUGCGGACAAAAGCCGCUUUGUGGAGGCUGCGAGUCUCUCGACGGCGCCACCGUGUGGCAGCGCCGGGCAGCGGCAGCGGCGGCCGGGGCGGAUCCCAGGGCUGUCCCGCGCCCACCAGGACCUUCUCCGACCAUCUGAGACAAAGGAAAUUCUUUUCAUACACAGCUGUGGACUCGGUAUGUCUGUGGGAGGAAGUGAAUUCAGGAUCUUCCUAUGUCGCCAUCUUAAACUGGAACCAUCAAGAUUAUUUGAGCGCAUGCGCGAACGCAAUUCCCUCUUUUCCGGUUACUGCGGCGCGAAGAACCUUGAGCAGCAAAGUCUCCCGCGACACCCUGUACGAGGCGGUGCGGGAAGUCCUGCACGGGAACCAGCGCAAGCGCCGGAAGUUUUUGGAGACGGUGGAGCUGCAGAUCAGUCUGAAGAACUAUGACCCUCGGAAGGACAAACGCUUCUCGGGCACCGUCAGGCUUAAGUCCACUCCCCGCCCCAAGUUCUCCGUAUGUGUUUUGGGGGAUCAGCAGCACUGUGAUGAGGCCAAGGCAGUGGGUAUUCCCCACAUGGAUAUUGAGGCGCUGAAGAAACUCAACAAGAAUAAGAAAUUAGUUAAGAAGUUGGCCAAGAAGUAUGACGCCUUUUUGGCCUCAGAAUCUCUGAUCAAGCAGAUUCCACGAAUCCUGGGCCCAGGCCUGAAUAAGGCUGGCAAGUUCCCUUCCUUGCUGACCCACAAUGAAAACAUGGUGGCCAAAGUGGAUGAAGUUAAGUCCACCAUCAAAUUCCAGAUGAAGAAGGUGCUGUGUCUGGCAGUGGCUGUUGGCCAUGUGAAGAUGACAGAUGAUGAGCUUGUGUACAACAUCCACUUAGCAGUCAAUUUCCUGGUGUCCUUGCUCAAGAAGAAUUGGCAGAACGUCCGGGCUUUAUACAUCAAGAGCACCAUGGGCAAGCCCCAGAGCCUGUACUAAGAACACAUUUCAAAAAACCCCAUGGCUCCCCUU